GUACUCACUUUGGUAGCACAUAUACUAAGAUUGGAACGACACAGAGAAGGUUAACCUGGCCCCUGGGCUAGGAU
RNAcentral lists this small nuclear RNA (74 nucleotides) under Nannospalax galili (Upper Galilee mountains blind mole rat). The record is from RNAcentral. Lineage: Eukaryota; Metazoa; Chordata; Mammalia; Rodentia; Spalacidae.